RNAcentral lists this ribosomal RNA (449 nucleotides) under uncultured bacterium. RNAcentral describes it as "partial 16S ribosomal RNA". It matches the Rfam family "Bacterial small subunit ribosomal RNA", at positions 329 to 792 of the family's 1533-position model. The record is from RNAcentral.
GCCCAGACUCCUACGGGAGGCAGCAGUGGGGAAUAUUGGGCAAUGGAGGCAACUCUUACCCAGCAAUGCCGCGUGAAUGAAGAAGGUCUUCGGAUUGUAAAGUUCUUUAAUUGGGGACGAAAAAAAUGACGGUACCCAAGGAAUAAGCCCCGGCUAACUACGUGCCAGCAGCCGCGGUAAUACGUAUGGUGCAAGCGUUAUCCGGAUUCACUGGGUGUAAAGGGAGCGUAGACGGCCAAGCAAGCCAGGGGUGAAAGCCCGGGGCCCAACCCCGGGACUGCCCUUGGAACUGCACGGCUGGAGUGCGGGAGGGGCAGGCGGAAUUCCUGGUGUAGCGGUGAAAUGCGUAGAUAUCAGGAGGAACACCGGCGGCGAAGGCGGCCUGCUGGACCGCGACUGACGUUGAGGCUCGAAAGCGUGGGGAGCAAACAGGAUUAGAUACCCCCGUA